AUUGAACGCUGGCGGCAGGCCUAACACAUGCAAGUCGAGCGGAUGAAGGGAGCUUGCUCCUGGAUUCAGCGGCGGACGGGUGAGUAAUGCCUAGGAAUCUGCCUGGUAGUGGGGGAUAACGUCCGGAAACGGGCGCUAAUACCGCAUACGUCCUGAGGGAGAAAGUGGGGGAUCUUCGGACCUCACGCUAUCAGAUGAGCCUAGGUCGGAUUAGCUAGUUGGUGGGGUAAAGGCCUACCAAGGCGACGAUCCGUAACUGGUCUGAGAGGAUGAUCAGUCACACUGGAACUGAGACACGGUCCAGACUCCUACGGGAGGCAGCAGUGGGGAAUAUUGGACAAUGGGCGAAAGCCUGAUACAGCCAUGCCGAGUGUGUGAAGAAGGUCUUCGGAUUGUAAAGCACGUUAAGUUGGGGGGAAGGGCAGUAAGUUAAUACCUUGCUGUUUUGACGUUACCAACAGAAUAAGCACCGGCUAACUUCGUG
Molecule: ribosomal RNA, 484 nt
Filed under: uncultured bacterium
Lineage: Bacteria
Description: partial 16S ribosomal RNA
Rfam family: Bacterial small subunit ribosomal RNA
Source: RNAcentral